Molecule: non-coding RNA, 120 nt
Filed under: Lotharella globosa
Lineage: Eukaryota; Cercozoa; Chlorarachniophyceae
Source: RNAcentral
UCUAUUUGUGUUUUUUCGGUCUCUUGUGUGCGCAGUUACACAUUGUUAUUAUUUUUUUAUUUUUUUUGGCUUUUUUUUUUUCCAAUUCCCUUCCGCCCUUUUGUUCUUGGCCUUUUUUCU